Molecule: long non-coding RNA, 1844 nt
Organism: Aedes aegypti (yellow fever mosquito)
Lineage: Eukaryota; Metazoa; Arthropoda; Insecta; Diptera; Culicidae
Exons: 2
Source: RefSeq, a predicted model, not a curated record
GGGGGCGCGGUAAAACUCCUUACAUGGGCUCAUGACGAUUCUGGAGGAGGAAAUGCCUCUUUUCCCUAGGCCAGACAACAAGAUAAAUCCAACAAACUAUCCCAAAUAUAAUUAUGUUAUUUAUGUUUAAUCCUACUAGUUUAGCCAAAUAACUAUUAAGGAUUAAAUUGAGUGUUUGCCGCAGUGGCGACCAGUCACGAGAAGCAGGAUCAAACCGGUUAGAGACAAUUUGUCAGAAUUUAGCUGGCGCACUAUCAGGUUUGCCAGGACUCGCUGGUACGCAUAUUUGGAUUUGUGAUUAAGUUUGUGUAAGCAUUCAGUAGAAUAAGUUCUCAAUUUCUAGAGCUCGGAUCUAGAGUUAAAAAUGAAACAUAUGGAUAGUAUCCGUCUCUGACGGACUUUGAAGAAAGUUGAAGAAUUUUUCAUGAGUCGUUAUUCACCGUCUCAUGAAAAAUUCUGCCGUUGUGGCAAUGUUGUGUUACGUUUAGAUUUAUUGUGCCGUAAAAUAAAAGCUUCAGCUCAGAUUUAACACGUUAAAACGCAAACUUAAAAAAAAAAAAGAAACAGAAGAGAAAGGUUGCUCCGCGCAUCGCGUAGCGAAAACCCCUGCCAAACCUCCCUUCGCACGAGAAACUAAAGCUGCUGCACACGACAACCAUGCUAUUCAGACCAAUAUCGUCGUCUCUUCUUCGAACGACGACUACGCAGACAAGCUUCGGGAGCAGCGAGCCAAGCCGUUGAGAGAAGCAAGGCUUGUCGUCCACAAUCGGCAGCACUCACGCCGUUUUCCGUAACCGCAGAGCCGUCGGAGUGGAGAGACAAGUCGUGGUACUGAGAAAGAUCAGUUCGGGCUAGUGCGUGAAAUCGGUCGGUCGCACGCAGCACGUUAUUCCGUGGUCGCCGAAUCGAGAGGAUUCCCUGAACAUUGGUGAUUAGAAUUUGGAAGAAUCCGCCGGUGUGGACGUUUAAUUAGUACACGUAUCCAAAAAUAAGAAAACCUCCUCUCUAUCGGGGAGCACCUUGCUGCGAGAUACAUCGCGCGGUUGGCCGGAUUGGAUUCCAUUGCGAGGCAAUCACGUGGAUAACAGGUGAGCUCAAAUUUUCUGGCGGCUAUAGAAAUCGACUGAGCGGGCUAUCAUCAAAGCUAACUUCGGCCAUUUUGUUAACCAUAUAGUUGGAGAGCAAGCCCGAUUGACGCACGUUGGGAUAGCUGUCCACGUUCACCCAGAACAACCAGGGUGCAACAAUAGCGACUUGGUCGCUGACCACACUCUGUGCGGGAAGGAGAGAUACUUCACCAGGAGGAUAAGCGAAAUCACACGUCGUAGAUUAGGGAGCCACGAGGCAAGUCAGGACGAUACAGCGGAAGAACGAAAGCCCCUCAAAAGGGUAAGAGAGAUAGUAACUAUAUGACUGCAGGCAGAAUUCUCAUGUCCAAUGCCUGCAGGGCUUUUUUUUCCCCUUAUAUUGUCUCGUUUCUGCUUAGAGCAAAGGCGUCUAGAAGGACGAGUGAGAUUCGCACUGAGGACAUACGAGUGGCCGAUCGACCGCAAGGAAAGCGUGGCGCUGAAGGUUUGGUGCAUGGACAACUGGGUGACGGUCCCGAUGGCCGCAAGAAUGGGAGCGUUCGUGCGAAGCCGCAAUGUAGCGCAUGUUCAUGCCUAAGGACGUCGCUCAACCUAAAGGAAGCAGCGGGUAGUGACGCAGCGUGGCGGCAACCGUGAGUUAAGGCAAUAUCCAUGUUAGAUAUAAGAGCUUGGUAGCUUGCACUACCCUAGGAGAGAUAGGGCCUGAGCAUAGGCAGAUUUUGCCCCAAAGAGGGAAAUACAAGAUGUUAAACUGAG